GUAGUCCUGGCCGUAAACGAUGUCGACUUGGAGGUUGUGCCCUUGAGGCGUGGCUUCCGGAGCUAACGCGUUAAGUCGACCGCCUGGGGAGUACGGCCGCGAGGUUAAAACUCAAAUGAAUUGACGGGGGCCCGCACAAGCGGUGGAGCAUGUGGUUUAAUUCGAUGCAGCGCGAAGAACCUUACCUGGUCUUGACAUCCACGGAAGUUUUCAGAGAUGAGAAUGUGCCUUCGGGAACCGUGAGACAGGUGCUGCAUGGCUGUCGUCAGCUCGUGUUGUGAAAUGUUGGGUUAAGUCCCGCAACGAGCGCAACCCUUAUCCUUUGUUGCCAGCGGUCCGGCCGGGAACUCAAAGGAGACUGCCAGUGAUAAACUGGAGGAAGGUGGGGAUGACGUCAAGUCAUCAUGGCCCUUACGACCAGGGCUACACACGUGCUACAAUGGCGCAUACAAAGAGAAGCGACCUCGCGAGAGCAAGCGGACCUCAUAAAGUGCGUCGUAGUCCGGAUUGGAGUCUGCAACUCGACUCCAUGAAGUCGGAAUCGCUAGUAAUCGUGGAUCAGAAUGCCACGGUGAAUACGUUCCCGGGCCUUGUACACACCGCCCGUCACACCAUGGGAGUGGGUUGCAAAAGAAGUAGGUAGCUUAACCUUCGGGAGGGCGCUUACCACUUUGUGAUUCAUGACUGGGGUGAAGUCGUAACAAGGUAACCGUAGGGGAACCUGCGGCUGGAUCACCUCC
Molecule: ribosomal RNA, 740 nt
Filed under: uncultured bacterium
Lineage: Bacteria
Description: bacterial SSU rRNA
Rfam family: Bacterial small subunit ribosomal RNA
Source: RNAcentral